This 2688-nucleotide ribosomal RNA is filed under the name Escherichia coli. RNAcentral describes it as "partial 23S ribosomal RNA". It matches the Rfam family "Bacterial large subunit ribosomal RNA". The record is from RNAcentral. Lineage: Bacteria; Pseudomonadati; Pseudomonadota; Gammaproteobacteria; Enterobacterales; Enterobacteriaceae.
AAAGAAAUCAACCGAGAUUCCCCCAGUAGCGGCGAGCGAACGGGGAGGAGCCCAGAGCCUGAAUCAGUGUGUGUGUUAGUGGAAGCGUCUGGAAAGGCGCGCGAUACAGGGUGACAGCCCCGUACACAAAAAUGCACAUACUGUGAGCUCGAUGAGUAGGGCGGGACACGUGGUAUCCUGUCUGAAUAUGGGGGGACCAUCCUCCAAGGCUAAAUACUCCUGACUGACCGAUAGUGAACCAGUACCGUGAGGGAAAGGCGAAAAGAACCCCGGCGAGGGGAGUGAAAAAGAACCUGAAACCGUGUACGUACAAGCAGUGGGAGCCUCUUAAUGGGGUGACUGCGUACCUUUUGUAUAAUGGGUCAGCGACUUAUAUUCUGUAGCAAGGUUAACCGAAUAGGGGAGCCGAAGGGAAACCGAGUCUUAACUGGGCGUUAAGUUGCAGGGUAUAGACCCGAAACCCGGUGAUCUAGCCAUGGGCAGGUUGAAGGUUGGGUAACACUAACUGGAGGACCGAACCGACUAAUGUUGAAAAAUUAGCGGAUGACUUGUGGCUGGGGGUGAAAGGCCAAUCAAACCGGGAGAUAGCUGGUUCUCCCCGAAAGCUAUUUAGGUAGCGCCUCGUGAAUUCAUCUCCGGGGGUAGAGCACUGUUUCGGCAAGGGGGUCAUCCCGACUUACCAACCCGAUGCAAACUGCGAAUACCGGAGAAUGUUAUCACGGGAGACACACGGCGGGUGCUAACGUCCGUCGUGAAGAGGGAAACAACCCAGACCGCCAGCUAAGGUCCCAAAGUCAUGGUUAAGUGGGAAACGAUGUGGGAAGGCCCAGACAGCCAGGAUGUUGGCUUAGAAGCAGCCAUCAUUUAAAGAAAGCGUAAUAGCUCACUGGUCGAGUCGGCCUGCGCGGAAGAUGUAACGGGGCUAAACCAUGCACCGAAGCUGCGGCAGCGACACUAUGUGUUGUUGGGUAGGGGAGCGUUCUGUAAGCCUGUGAAGGUGUACUGUGAGGUAUGCUGGAGGUAUCAGAAGUGCGAAUGCUGACAUAAGUAACGAUAAAGCGGGUGAAAAGCCCGCUCGCCGGAAGACCAAGGGUUCCUGUCCAACGUUAAUCGGGGCAGGGUGAGUCGACCCCUAAGGCGAGGCCGAAAGGCGUAGUCGAUGGGAAACAGGUUAAUAUUCCUGUACUUGGUGUUACUGCGAAGGGGGGACGGAGAAGGCUAUGUUGGCCGGGCGACGGUUGUCCCGGUUUAAGCGUGUAGGCUGGUUUUCCAGGCAAAUCCGGAAAAUCAAGGCUGAGGCGUGAUGACGAGGCACUACGGUGCUGAAGCGACAAAUGCCCUGCUUCCAGGAAAAGCCUCUAAGCAUCAGGUAACAUCAAAUCGUACCCCAAACCGACACAGGUGGUCAGGUAGAGAAUACCAAGGCGCUUGAGAGAACUCGGGUGAAGGAACUAGGCAAAAUGGUGCCGUAACUUCGGGAGAAGGCACGCUGAUAUGUAGGUGAAGCGACUUGCUCGUGGAGCUGAAAUCAGUCGAAGAUACCAGCUGGCUGCAACUGUUUAUUAAAAACACAGCACUGUGCAAACACGAAAGUGGACGUAUACGGUGUGACGCCUGCCCGGUGCCGGAAGGUUAAUUGAUGGGGUUAGCGGUAACGCGAAGCUCUUGAUCGAAGCCCCGGUAAACGGCGGCCGUAACUAUAACGGUCCUAAGGUAGCGAAAUUCCUUGUCGGGUAAGUUCCGACCUGCACGAAUGGCGUAAUGAUGGCCAGGCUGUCUCCACCCGAGACUCAGUGAAAUUGAACUCGCUGUGAAGAUGCAGUGUACCCGCGGCAAGACGGAAAGACCCCGUGAACCUUUACUAUAGCUUGACACUGAACAUUGAGCCUUGAUGUGUAGGAUAGGUGGGAGGCUUUGAAGUGUGGACGCCAGUCUGCAUGGAGCCGACCUUGAAAUACCACCCUUUAAUGUUUGAUGUUCUAACGUGGGCCCCUUACCGGGGUUGCGGACAGUGUCUGGUGGGUAGUUUGACUGGGGCGGUCUCCUCCUAAAGAGUAACGGAGGAGCACGAAGGUUGGCUAAUCCUGGUCGGACAUCAGGAGGUUAGUGCAAUGGCAUAAGCCAGCUUGACUGCGAGCGUGACGGCGCGAGCAGGUGCGAAAGCAGGUCAUAGUGAUCCGGUGGUUCUGAAUGGAAGGGCCAUCGCUCAACGGAUAAAAGGUACUCCGGGGAUAACAGGCUGAUACCGCCCAAGAGUUCAUAUCGACGGCGGUGUUUGGCACCUCGAUGUCGGCUCAUCACAUCCUGGGGCUGAAGUAGGUCCCAAGGGUAUGGCUGUUCGCCAUUUAAAGUGGUACGCGAGCUGGGUUUAGAACGUCGUGAGACAGUUCGGUCCCUAUCUGCCGUGGGCGCUGGAGAACUGAGGGGGGCUGCUCCUAGUACGAGAGGACCGGAGUGGACGCAUCACUGGUGUUCGGGUUGUCAUGCCAAUGGCACUGCCCGGUAGCUAAAUGCGGAAGAGAUAAGUGCUGAAAGCAUCUAAGCACGAAACUUGCCCCGAGAUGAGUUCUCCCUGACUCCUUGAGAGUCCUGAAGGAACGUUGAAGACGACGACGUUGAUAGGCCGGGUGUGUAAGCGCAGCGAUGCGUUGAGCUAACCGGUACUAAUGAACCGUGAGGCUUAACCUU